GAGCUCAUUGAUCAUCAUAACAGAGUCUAUUGAAAGUCCUCAGCAGGCGGUGUGACGAUGUGACCAGCUCUGGCCAAGGAGCUGUAGGCAGAAGUGUCUUGCAGCAGCUCCUGUAAAUCUUAAAAGACAGCUGGUGCGUGUCUUUUUUCCUUUUUUUUUCCCUUCCCCCUUCCUGCUGCGCUGAAUAUGGAUAUGGUGAGUGAAUCUAGAGCAGCCAUUUGGAGGUAUGAAGAGAUCUUGGAAAUAGAGGCCAUGUGUGUUGAAACAAGACCGAACAACUCCAAGUUCCUGAAGACUUCAUUUCACCAACCCAGAACCUCCUUGAUCAUCACAGUGUUCAAAUGGUUUCCAGCAACAUUCCUACCACCUACUUUGCUGACACAAAGGUGCAUAAACAGAAGUCCUAUGUGGUCGAACCAUUUUACAUUUUCACCAGCAAUGAAGGAGGGUUCCUGUUGCUCUACCAUUUGGUACUGUCAGCGUUUUGGAUAUUAGCCGUCCUAAUAGGUGCAAUGAAUGUGUCCUGCUCUUACUUGGGAUAGGUUCAAAAAUAAAUGCAAUUGAAAAAAAAUCUCCUGGGGCCAGGCGUGGUGGCUCACGCCUGUAAUCCUAGCACUUUGGGAGGCCGAAGUGGGCAGAUCAUGAAGUCAAGAGAUCGAGACUAUCCUGGCCAACAUGGUGAAACCUCAUCUCUCCUAAAAAUACAAAAAAUUAGCUGAGUAUGGUGGCACAUGUCUGUAAUCCCAGCUACUCGGGAGGCUGAGGCAGGAGAAUGGCUUGAACCCGGGAGGCAGAGGUUGCAGUGAGCCAAGAUCGUGCCACUGCACUCCAGCCUGGGUGACAGGGCUCAGACUCCGUCUAAACAAACAAAAAAAAUCUCCUGGAAGUCCCAUUUGAUCUUGGUUACAUGAGCUUACUAGAGAAUUUUGUUGUUCCCAACAUUAGCUGAGAAAUGUACUCUAAGAAGUGAAUAGACUAAAGUGGAACCAGGGUGCAGUGGAGAACGAGAGCUGUUAUCUAGAAAACCUUUCUCAGGCAUGUUUCAGCACACUCUGCUCCUGACGAUGGCUCUAUCAUCAAAGAAUUCUGUGGUCAGGUGUAUGGGAUAUGCUGCAUAGGCUCCCUAUGAGCCUCCAAAUUGUAAGUUAAAGGCUCUGAGAGCUUGGCAGUAAGUAGAAGACUCCUGGUCACAUUUGUUUAACCCAGUGUUUCCCAAACUCAUUUGGCCUUGGAACUCUAUUUCUUGGGACAUUUAUUAGCUGCUGGUGGAACCAGUGUUCAAAAAAUUACUCCCUAGACAAUUUAGGCAAAACAUCUUUUCUAUAAAUAA
This 1330-nucleotide long non-coding RNA is filed under the name Homo sapiens (human). RNAcentral's name for it is "PREDICTED lncRNA (TCONS_00063832)". Lineage: Eukaryota; Metazoa; Chordata; Mammalia; Primates; Hominidae. The record is from RNAcentral.